RNAcentral lists this long non-coding RNA (1030 nucleotides) under Equus asinus (donkey). RNAcentral's name for it is "lncRNA (ENSEASG00005034188.1)". Lineage: Eukaryota; Metazoa; Chordata; Mammalia; Perissodactyla; Equidae. The record is from RNAcentral.
CUAGCAGGCAUCCACUCACUGUGUUUGGAAUUGCUCUCUACAAGAAAACUGCCCACUUACUACUAACUUGGCCAAGAAUGAAUUGAACGUAGUUGACCUGUAAAAUAAAAACAUCCAAUGUUUCCUGAUGAAAUACAAGCUGAAAUGUAGUCACUGGAAAAGUUUGUAAGUUCAUAUAUUCAAAACAAGACAAAGGCAAGUAAAAUGAAGCUUUCUUCAUAGACAGACUUUCAGGAAGUACAAAUUAUAUUUCUGCACUGACCAGGGAAAAGAAAUCAUUGCAUCUGUGGAACAUAUAUCUGGAGUCACUGUACUUUGAGGAGCAAGGGAUAAAUUUAGGCUAAGACCAUCUAGGUUAUACCCAACAUAUGGGCCACCUUCUCAAUACUUUGUUUAAAUUUGUUUCCCUAGGUAAUUAGAGAUUGGCAAAGGUUUAUCCUGGAUAGUGGGCAUAAAAGAGGCGUAAAUUGUCUCUGCAAUGACUGAUAUGUAUUUAUUCACUGAAAAAGUGACUAUCAUUUUCCCUGAUCUUGACCACUAAAUUGUAAAUUGGUAAACUGGUUUUCUCUGUAGUUGUAUACAAAUAAUGGAGGCUUAGAGAACCUUCGUUGAAAUAAAUUCCCAAUGGUUUGGAGACCAAUAAAGAACAUGCAUGUGUAACCUUAUCCAUAGGCUGUUACUAUGCUAAUCCCAUAUUUUGAUGAUUUUUUGCUUUGAAGAAAGAAUGUCUAAAUUGUAUCUCUAGGGGGAAAAUGUUAGUAAAAAAUUAAAAGUGUGUGUAUUGGGCCGGCCUGGUGGCACAGCGGUGAAGCCUGCACAUUGUUUUGGCGACCUGGGUUUGCGAGUUCGGAUCCCGGGUGUGGACAUGGCACCGCUUGGCAAGCCAUGCUGGGGUAGGCGUCCCACAUAUAAAGUACAGGAAGAUGGGCAUGGGUUUUAGCUCAGGGCCAGUCUUCCUCAGCAAAAAGAGGAGGAUUGCUAGCAGAUGUUAGCUCAGGGCUGAUCUUCCUCAAAAAAAAAAAAAAAAAAG